GCGAUAGCUCAGUUGGUAGAGCAGUGGUCUUGUAACCCGUCGACCCAGGUUCGAAACCAAGUCAAUGCG
This 69-nucleotide transfer RNA is filed under the name Strongylocentrotus purpuratus (purple sea urchin). It matches the Rfam family "tRNA". Rfam says of the family: Transfer RNA (tRNA) molecules are approximately 80 nucleotides in length. Their secondary structure includes four short double-helical elements and three loops (D, anti-codon, and T loops). The record is from Rfam by way of RNAcentral. Lineage: Eukaryota; Metazoa; Echinodermata; Echinoidea; Camarodonta; Strongylocentrotidae.